UGAAAGACGAUGAAAGAGGAAAGUAGGUAUGUAGAGGAUUAAAGAGAGUCCGGGAUGGUGGAAGCCGGACAUCUUAAGCAUAUUGAAGUUCCCUCUUAAGUUGCGAUCUGAAACUAAAGUAGGUGAUGCCGGAGUCUUCUACCGUUAAAAAGAAGGGAGUAUGAUUGUACUCUUAGAGUGAACCUUUCAUGGUUAAUAAAGGUGGUACCGCGGAAAAUCUCCGUCCUUUGG
Molecule: non-coding RNA, 231 nt
Filed under: Thermoanaerobacterium saccharolyticum
Lineage: Bacteria; Bacillati; Bacillota; Clostridia; Thermoanaerobacterales; Thermoanaerobacteraceae
Description: T-box sequence
Rfam family: T-box leader
About the family: Uncharged tRNA acts as the effector for transcription antitermination of genes in the T-box leader family. T-boxes are found upstream of many aminoacyl-tRNA synthetase genes and some amino acid biosynthetic genes usually in Gram-positive bacteria. The anticodon of a specific tRNA base pairs to a specifier sequence within the T-box motif, and the NCCA acceptor tail of the tRNA base pairs to a conserved bulge in the T-box antiterminator hairpin.
Source: RNAcentral